GAUGAACGCUGGCGGCGUGCCUAAUACAUGCAAGUCGAGCGAACAGACGAGGAGCUUGCUCCUCUGACGUUAGCGGCGGACGGGUGAGUAACACGUGGAUAACCUACCUAUAAGACUGGGAUAACUUCGGGAAACCGGAGCUAAUACCGGAUAAUAUAUUCAACCGCAUGGUUCAAUAGUGAAAGACGGUUUUCCUGUCACUUAUAGAUGGAUCCGCGCCGCAUUAGCUAGUUGGUAAGGUAACGGCUUACCAAGGCAACGAUGCGUAGCCGACCUGAGAGGAUGAUCGGCCACACUGGAACUGAGACACGGUCCAGACUCCUACGGGAGGCAGCAGUAGGGAAUCUUCCGCAAUGGGCGAAAGCCUGACGGAGCAACGCCGCGUGAGUGAUGAAGGUCUUCGGAUCGUAAAACUCUGUUAUUAGGGAAGAACAAAUGUGUAAGUAACUAUGCACGUCUUGACGGUACCUAAUCAGAAAGCCACGGCUAACUACGUG
RNAcentral lists this ribosomal RNA (497 nucleotides) under uncultured bacterium. RNAcentral's name for it is "partial 16S ribosomal RNA". It matches the Rfam family "Bacterial small subunit ribosomal RNA", at positions 28 to 507 of the family's 1533-position model. The record is from RNAcentral.